Long non-coding RNA from Numida meleagris (helmeted guineafowl), 9633 nucleotides. RefSeq lists it as uncharacterized. Lineage: Eukaryota; Metazoa; Chordata; Aves; Galliformes; Numididae. The transcript has 5 exons. The record is from RefSeq and is a predicted model, not a curated record.
CUGCAUCACAGCUUGCCCUGUUGCACAAGAGGUGUAGACAGUGCUGAAAUGUGCAGGGGAGGUUUUGCAUGCAUAAGCAAAUCUGCAGGCUGCGUGGUGCUUAAUAUUGCUCUGCCCUUGCAGGUCAGUUAUGCAGAGAAUAAACGGCAGCAUUCCUGCAACCGGUCAUGCUGCCUCAUGCCUAACUUCUGCUUCUGGUGCCACACAGAAUGUGAAGUGCUUCUUCUCUCAAGAAUGCCUCGCAAGUGAUACUGUGCUUUUGCAUACAUCACUGGUGAAUUGACAAAUGCAAUUAAUAACAUCAACAGCCAGAGAAAGUCAAGCUGAGACGUUAAAUAACUCACUUUAGCUCUCAGGACCCAAACUAAGAAGACAAUACAUGCAUCCAUUGAGGUACCACACCUUUCUCCUUCUGCACUAACAGCUGGCACACCAGUGCUGCCUGCUGCUGGCCUAUGUUCUAGGCUAUAGGACGUCUGCUAUGGCCACACCAAUUACGUUCAGAUGACCAGAAAGCAAGUCUUCACCCUAAGAAUGGCACUCCAGCAAACACUCAGACACUUCUCUUAAUGCCAUCACAUCCAGACCAAAGAAUGCUGCUGGCGGCUCCUUGAAGAAGGCCUGCAGUUCACAUGUGUUUUCUGUUUGGUGCUGCAGACUUCCCUCCAGCUGAAGGCGACCGGAGGAACCCAGCUGUGACCAAUUAUGGUCAGGGCCGCCCAGGGUUAGGGCUGAGCUGCGGUGCAGGAGGUCAUUUGCUCAUGCUGCCUUGAAGAGACUGUGUUUCUGUGCUCUCUUGUGGCUUUUGCCAGUUCUGAAGGUUUUGAGUCUGCUUCUGUUUUACUCUGUGUUUGUUCUGAUGGUAUUCUGCCAAGUUUUGACUCCCAUAAGAUGCAGUUACUGUGAGGCCUGUGACCUAGCCCAGAAGGUCAACCUGACAUUGCUUCCCUCUGCUUCCCUGACAUACCUCUGGUCAGGGCUGAGUCUGGGUUCAAACUAAUCCCUGCUGAGUGCUGGAGACCUGCUGGAAUCCACAGGAGUAAGUGCAAUGUGUGGUAUUUAUAUCCUGAGUUGGAAGGGAUCCAUCGUGUUCAUCGAGUCCUACUCCUGAAAAGUGUUACCUUCCUCUUUCCAUCACAUUGGUGGUCCUGAGGUCCUGGGCUGAAGACACUGAUUGAGGCCAAAAAUAUUUCAACAUCAAAAGCUCAUCACAAGCAUGGGGUAAUAUCAAAUAAGCUGGACAUGCAUUCUGCGGAUUAUGCUACAUUUAUUAUUUGUAACUAAUGAAUGCGUGACGCUUAAGAAAUAUGAAAGCAAAUCUGCUCUCUUUGUUCAGGGUCUCUUGGUUCACGAGUCGAUCUGAGAGACUGCAACCUGGAAAGGUCACUUUGCAGUCUGUAAGCAGCUUUAAAGCCUUCAUGGGCCUUAAAACAAUGGGCUUAGCCAGUGGAAAAAAAAUCUCCUGGAACACAUAGCUGCCAGCAGAGAGCUGGAAAAUGGCUCUGUGAAGAGUCUGCCAUGUCCUGCUCCUGAUGCAGGUAGAGGAGGGAGAGACGAAGGUUUAGAAGAGCCAGAGCAUUUGUCUGGUUUGUCACUGCUUCAGCUAGUAAUUCUCACUUUUAUGUGUUCCAAGCUUGCUUUCAAAUGACCAAUUGUAGAACUUGAUGCUGUCUUACGGGACAUGAAACAGCUGAACUGACUUAUUCUGCAUCCCUACACAUGUUUUUCAGUAUGCCUCUAUUCCAAACCAAAAUUGAACACAGGUCAUAACAACUUGCGGUCACUGCUCACCUGGUCUGGACUCACGCAGUAGCCUGGAGGUGCAUUGUGUCACUGCUGCAAGUAUUAUUUACUGUUACCUCUACUUGGAAACCAGCUGGUGCUGCGGAGGACAACAACGCACACUCACAGCAAAGAAGAUAUGAUAUUCUCCUGUGGUGAUAUUGAUGACUCUGAUAGAUGGUAAAUAUCUGGUUGGAGAAAACCCCACUGUUAGCCCAGCAGGACUGACCUUAAGCAGCGACGUAUGCUUAUUUAUAUCCUGAUUUCAGCCUGCCAUCAAAGCAAAAGCAAUAAGCGCACUAUACUCAUAGGCUGAGUGCCAGCAUUAAAACUGCAUUUGCAUCACUUUUGUUUGUUUUUAGAAAACUGCUCUCAGGUCUGUUUGCUUGAGUAGCGAAGCAAGGAUUUCAUUUUAUUAGGAGACUCUGAGCCCUGGAGUGGAGUGCCAGUCACUACUCCUUUACUGUUCUUGCAGUCAGAAAACAAUACUGAAAUAUAUCAAAAAUGUCUGGCCUCUCCUGGCUCUCUGAAAACCUCGUCCCCUGCAUUUACUGUGUAUCCCAUGAUCAAGAACAUGUGCCGAGGCUGCACCUCUGGUCCUUGCUGUUCCCUGUAAGUCCUUUUGUAGCUGCUGAUGGUGGAGGUGCUGUCUCAGAUGACUGUUUUCAUGGAGGCCUACAACUGCCUCCUCUGGGUUCAUUAUUGAGAGGUGGCUGACUCCAGGAUGCAUCUGGUUCCAGCCCUUCAUGAGAGGAUGCACUUUGCACUCACAGUAGGUGAAACUCAUGCUGUAAGGUAGUAUUGCUUUUCCGUGUGAUCCAGUAAGUAACUUUAUUUGACUUCUUCAGGCCCCAAGCUUUGCCAAUUUAAACAACUUGUGUUAUUGUUUUCUGAAGGGCAGCAUUUGCAUUUUUGAGGGAACCUAGCAACACUCAAGUGAAAGAAAAGUAAUUAAGAUGUGGUAGACUAUUAGAAAUGCAAGACUGUAUGGUCUAAAGGGAAAACUAAUAUGAGUGUGGCUAAUGACAUCCUUUAGAAACUGAUACUCAAAUAAGAGGACAUAUUAAUGUUAUUUGUACUGAUGAUCUACUGUGAUUGUGCUUGUUAAUUGUUUAAUUUAAACUACUAAAAACAUUUUAGGUAGUUGGUAUUUAAAGAUCCAGAGGAGUAUCCAUUGAAAUGACAGAUAUUUCUUCCUCAUUGGUAGGACAUAUAUGUUUACAUUUCAUGUUGUCAAAAAAGGAAAAUGAAUAUAAAAAGCCUAAAAUGAAAAAUGACUCAGUAGACUUCACAGAGAUGAUAACCAAAGUAAUAUGUGUUGGAAGAAAUAUGGAGGCAAAGCCAAUGAGAAAGAAGCUCAAAUAAAGCAAAUUUCACCCUGGCCCUAUUAGUAUCUGAUACAGUUUAAGGUAGAUUGGCUGGUCCCUACUCAACCACAGCUCUGUAAGAAUCAAAUUAGAUUGUACCAUACCAGAUGCCUGGUUAGCUAAUAUGAUGUUAAGUGGGAUGUAGCUAUGUGUCUGUUGACAAUGAGGUUGUGGCCAGCACCCUCCACCAAAUAGACCUUGGUUUUCCAUAAUUGUUCUAAAGCACAGUAACAUCUGUCUUGGUAGACAAGAUUUAAGAUUUAAGUUUGCACUUCAAGAGGUUGUGUCCUGUGGGGUGAUUUUCAUGACAAAACUACUUCAACAAAAGCCCUAAUGUAGACACAAUUAAACCAGCUAUAAAUGUGUUUUGCUGUUAGGGCCUAUAGACUUUGCCAGCCUGGAUCACGUUUGACAGGCAAAAAGUGCUCUCCUUAUGUGGGAGGAGUUUACAGGUACAGCUACACCAGGAUGACAAAACUUUCAAGUGUAAACAGGAGCUAGGUGGUAAUUUCAGUCAGAAUAUUUUACCAAAGUGUGACUUGUUCACAAAAGGCUCCCCCUCCCCAGCCAUAUAUGAGGCCUGACUCUGCCCUGGCCCAGCAGCUGGAAGGGAGGGAAAGUAAUGCCUGUUCUGUCAUGGGACAGCUACACCAAUGCACUACAAGAAGCUGGUACACUGAAGAGCAGUGCCCUGGCAAGCACAAAACUAUGCAAAAAUUAGUCCUUGCCCUGUGUUUCCUUACAGUUUCCUAUGGCUUCUUCUAACAUUUCUAAGACUGCUGGCAGCCUAGACAGCUUUCACAAUUCACAGGGCAGACAUGUGCAGGAGACUGCAGGCAGAAGGCUGGAUUUAAAGGAUUUACAGCAGCUGGGCAGUAGGACUUACACAGUACUGCCUGUGGUAUUUCUGUCUGUAGUCAUCACUGUUUUAGUGAGCUCUGUGUUCACCUCCCCUCGCAGAAAUACAAUUCAGACAUAGAAACAACAAUUUUUUACUUUUUUUCGGUAUAAAGAAAGCAGGUAUUUGGAUUGAAAUAGGAAAAAGAAAAGAGAAAGAAACCUUUAAGAUAAUGUACCACAAAUAUUUUGGAAAUCCACGUGUUUAUUGAGAUAAAAGAACCAAAUGCAUGAAUGGUUUUACCUGCAAGUAAUCUGGAGUGUGCAAGGAAAAAUCUUUUAAAAAUCUUUGAAGUAAAUGGUCAUGCAAAGACACAGCUUGAGGCAAAAGCUGUUUGAUUAGAGUGGGAAAAGUAUUUGUUCUAAAGAAUUAAACCUAAAAUUCCAGAGUAGAUGAGAGAAACCUGAACUCCUCAAACAUCUGACAGUUUUGAAGAGAAAUCUGCCAGGGUUCAGAGAUAUGUCUGCAUGAGGCAAUGCUGAGGUCAGAGCCAGACUGCUGCCUCAUGCAGCUCCUGCGGAGGCACUGAGAGGCUGAAAAGUAGGUCCUGCCCACGUAGGGUGAUGCAAAGCACCAGACAGACGUGCAGACACCCUGUAGGAUCAGUUAGAGGAAAAAGCAACUACAGGGUGAACAAAAACCCCACAUGCUAGACAGAAGACUGCCUUGAAUAGGCCUAUAGGUAGUGUUAUGCAGUGAGGUACCAAGAGCAAUUUAGGACAGGACCUCUAGGGUCAUCAUGUCCAUACCCCAACCCUAAACAAGGCUAGCUCCAGUGGGUACUGGGACCUCAUUGCAGUCUUGCCCUGCUCAGGAGGCCAGCAGUCCCUCUCCUUAGCUAAGCAUUUAGCAGGAGGAUUGUUUUAAAAGAAAAAAAUAUACCAGCUAAAGUGUGCACCUAGGAAAUGGGGUUUGGGAUCUGGAUGUGUGACACUGCUCAGAGCAUGCUGUAAUCCAUGACCUGUGGUGUAGUCUGAGAAAGAGGGGAAUGCUUCCUCCUUGCACUAAAGCUGGCAUGUAUGAAGCUGGGCUUGGAGUCAUGGGGUGAGAAGAGAGGUAUGGUCAAGGAGCCCUGCACUGGGACACCAGUGUGUUUGUCCAUGCUCUCAUAGCUUCUAAGAGAUUUUAGAUGAGAGCACAUUCUUUAUGUAGGACACAGUAAUAAUCCUGGUAGCAGGGACAAGUAAUACCAACAAACGAAUGAUAAGUUAUUGGAUCCUCGUGAAAUGGAGACAUGAGGUACCAUUACCAUCCAUGCUAACUGUGAGCACAUGGAGAACUUAACACAUUUGAGAUUUAGCAGCCAAAGGCUUUACUCAGUGGCUGAUAGGAUGGCUGUGAUCAUGGGUGUCAUAGUUCAGGAAUUUAGCAUUGCUAGAAGAAUGUGUUUAGUGAGAAUGAGGCACCUGUGUAUUUUUUGAGAUAUGACUAUUAGUAUAUAUGUGCUACAGUGACUGUUUUGCAUGACAAAAGGUUUUACUGGAUAGACUCCAAUCUCCCAGAUGAAUUAAAAGAAAAAUCUUCACUGCACUGUAAUCUGAAAAAUUAUUAUUUGUUGUUGUUGUACUAGGUACAAUGCAAUCAGGCAUUAGUAGUGUAAUCUUUUGAUUCUGAUUGUUUUCACUAAAAUCCAUGUACUGCAACAAGCUUUGCUGUGUGAGACUCAUGACUAAGCUUUGAAUAAUUUGGAUUCUAGUCUAAUUUUUAAUAGCAUUUUCCAGUUUAGUGCUUUCUCUCUUCUCUGUUAUGGUUGCCAUUAUAAAUUUGUAAGACGAUUUCCCAGGAAGAGGAUUUCUUACUGCCCAGACCUUUCUUAUGGAGACACUCAGCAAUAUUAGCAAAUGUUUUUUGAAUUGGUCUCAUGACACAGUUAUACAGCAGACCAAGCAUACUGCAUUUCCCUUCAUUAAUAAGUUCACUAGUAUUACUGAAAUUUAUUUUAUUGAAUUUAUAAAUUCCUUUUACUGAAUGUAUGCAUGACAGGACAUUGUCAAAACCUGUAUCUUUCCUCAGGGCUGGUCACGGCAAAAUGUUUUGAUCUUACAGCCCAGCUUCUGUUUAGCAUGUGAUUUCCUAGCUCCGUGUUUUGAAAGGGCUUGCCACAAGUGGAAGUGUGAUUACUUAGGAUUAUGUAGAGUGAGCUAAUCAUCUAAGGCAGGUAUCAAACAGUAAAAAAAAUUAUGUAGUUGAUGACUGAGAAUCCAUCUUUACUGCCUCACUCAAUGACCCACCACUUCUGCUAAUUCCUGAAUCCCUCUGCAGGGACAGAGGGCCAACGCCUGCACCGCUUGUGUGCAAAAUGCAGCUUUGCCCUUUUACUUCUGCCCCUGUGAAAGUCUUGGAAGUGUUUAUAGGAAAAUAUUUUCUAGUUAAGAAAGAGCCUCAGAAGCUCAUCUGAAAUUGCCUGGAUGUUCUAAACUUAUGAGCAUCAUCCCACCAGAGAUGUGUUCUUGAAUGUUAAAUUUAGGCUAAUUGGAGGCAUAUCCUUUAAUAUAGCAAGCUGAGGUUACUAAUACAGAUCAAGAGCUAAAAAUUAACAGUGGAGAUGAUGUAUGCUAAAUGCCUAAGUGAUAUCUUAACCUAUAAUUAUACAAGUUCUGUUAAUAGUGAAUAAUUCAGAUCUUCAGGGAUUUCAGUAGUCUAAUGGGCUGUAGUUAUUUCCAAUUUACAUUACGGUUGCUAGGUUUCAUUAAAAUAGGAAGAAGUCCAUAGAGUGCAGUAGAAGAAAAUUGGUGUUUGAAGUUAUCACCCAGGAAUCAAAAUAUGAAAUUUAAAUUAGAAGGUGUCCAGGAAACACAAUGGCACCAAAUCUGAGCACUGAUGAUGAACGUGAGUGGUGUGGGAAGAGAGUGUGUUUGCAGAGGGCACUGAGGAGACACAUCAUUGGGAGCAACAUGCUCUGUAACAGCCAUACCUUAGAUGCUGCAUCGGUACAGUGUGUAAAGAGUUCAAAACAUGUUACAAACCCCAAUUAAGCUUUGCUACAUCCUUCUGAAGUAUUUAAAUUUUGUUAUCAGUGCUUUGCAGAUGGCAGGCAGAGGUACGAUAAGGCCUGUGGCUUAUCAGAGCGGUGCAGUGACUCAGUCGGGUGGCACAGGGCUACAGCCUUCUGCUAGGCCACGGCCGGGGGCAAUUUCACCACAGCAGUGCUCGGGGCUGCUUGUCACCCUCUCCUGCUCGCCACUGCCCCUUUCAUCCUCACAUCACCAUCCUCAGUCUUCUCUGCUGGGCUGGGUCGCAUGGUGUUGAGUGUGCCAUGCUUCAAGUCACUGAAUGCAACGUGGGUUAAUGUUCAUGUCUUCUGGAUCUCUCCCAGAUCCUGCUCUUUCGAGCCUUACUGUACAUAGACAAAUUAUUUUCGGAACAUCUAGGACAAAUUAGCUUACCUGAUAGAUACUAAAAAUACCACACAAAUGAGAUCAUGGGAAUGACCAGCGAGUGUCACAGUUUGGUAGAAGUCAAGUUAGCUGACACAUUUUGAUACUGAAGUUUGACUUCACAUUUCUUGUAAAUUCUUCUGAAGUACAUUUUAAAUAUAAAGAGUAUCUGCUUCUUAUGAGCGGAUUAGCAACUAAAAUAAAUGUUCUUUUGGCCUAAAGAUUAGCUAUUUCACCACUGUUUCGUUAGUGAUUCAUGUUACCUAAACUCAGCCUCAAGUUCCUCAUGUAUAUAUCAUUACUUUUUGUAUCUAAAUUAAAAAUCUGCAUUUCUUUAAAAACACAGAAAACACUGCUUGCUUUGAGUCGGGUUUGUUUGUUUGUUUGUUUUUAAUAUCUUGAAGCUCUUUAGCUUCCUCUCUAGUGAAUGAGCCACAGGACGAUGAGUUACAACUAAAGAGCUCUUCCUUUAUAAAAUAGGUCUCCACAACAGCUCCUUUUCCCCCUGAAUCCAAGAAACCUAUUGCUUCUCACACUGAAAUACCUGUAACCAUAUUGCUAAAUAUCUCUAAUUUACAUAAGAUGUAACAGCAGAACUCCACUUAUGCUGUGUUAGUUAAGUUACUAUUAUUAUGCAAUUACAUAAUGGAGAAAUAGCAAAUUCAAACUCUUAAAAUGCUGAUCAUGAAGUAUAUAAAAUUAUAGCAUUGCCUCAACUGUAGGGCAGGUGUGGCACGCCCUCAGUCCUGAAGUGGAUGGGAUAAAGCAGAGCACAACGUGGCUUCUCUCCUGGAAACCAACACCCAAAGAUGCAUUUUAGACCUUAAAGAGCUACACUACCAGUGCCUCUGAUGUCUGAAGCCUCUGAGACUUGCUGCUAAAGCCCUGAUUAACCCCGAGACAAUCACAUUAGUCUCCUAGUUGCCCAACAAAAUGGUAUUGAGAUUAUAGAGUUUAAUUAUUUACUGUUUGGAAAACACUUUCAGACUGGUAAAGAAGAGAUGUCUUGUUAGUACAGAGUUAUGUUAAGCAAUAAUCCCAAUCAAUAAAAAUCACCAAAUAAUUAAGUAUGUUCAGACACUUAACACCCCUUGCAACUGCCAUUAGCAGCAGGUUGGAGGGCUGCUGGCAUAUUGCUUUAGCAUAUUAUAAAUUCCCCAUAGAGCACUCAGAUGUCCCAGUGAUGGCUAUGCAUGCUGCAUACACCACAGUCUCAUCUCUGUGCUAUUAAUUGUAAGGGUUUCACACUGAAAAAUCCUGUCCUGGGAAUACGGAUGAGAACAGUGCACUAGAGACGUAUUAGCAAGAGAAGAGAAAUGUGGAUGGUCAGAGCACACAGGAGGCCAAACCAUGACUCACUGCAUAACCCGAAGGAGCUCAUUUACCUUCUCUACUUCAGUGUAACCCUCUGUGAGGAACGUAUAAAGAAAUUUAAUUGCUUUGCGGACUGUUAUGUAGUCUGAUUAAUAAUAUUUAGAAAGCCCUUUGAGAUCUCUAGAUAAACACUGUUGGGUUUUUUUUGCAAGGAUAUUCUUACUGCAUUCAUAGCUUUCAUUUCUUGAGUUCGGCCCCAGAGUUUAGAGGAGUCUUUCUAAUGCUCUGUGUACAUUUUAUUUCUGUGAAACUCUGGCUGCUAGUGUCAAAUGCCAGCAUAUUCACGGGGCACAAACCAUCUGCUUUUCCUGAAACGAAAUAGUUCUGUGUUUACUUAGGAAAAUGGAUGCAGGCAUUUUCAGUUCUCACAGCUGUUCCUCCCUGGGAAACAGGAGGGUAGGAACAUUUUUUUUCCUCCAAAGCAAAGGAAUAGUAAGCUCCAUUGACAUUCUACAAACCGAGAUCUGCAGAUCUUGCAGGCACAAAUGACUUGCCUUGUUUUGUUUCAAAGUCCUUCCUUCCCCGUUCCUUGCUUAGGGAAUAAUGCCACAGCAGGUGCUGCGAAUUUCUGAUAGUUUGUGGGCAGUAGGGCAGGCUACCAGGGGAACUGAGAUUGUAUCAUAUGCUAAUAAAAAAAAAUAAUAAAAAGCACUCCUCCCACUUUUAAAUAGUUCUGACACUGAGAGAUGAAGUCAUCUGUGACAUGCCACACUGUAUGUAUCUUACCUUAUGGUUUUGCAUGAGGCUCCUGGAAGGCUCUCCUUCAUGCCUUCAAGGCAAUUCUUAUCUUGCCAAGUCUCCACACUAUCUUGGAGCUACUGGGAUAGGGCGGGGG